AUAUCUCUCUGUACGGGAAGGAUGAGAAGCUUCUACCAGGGUUCGAUUCGAGCGCAGCGAGAAAGCGUUGCC
Molecule: small RNA, 72 nt
Filed under: Salmonella enterica subsp. enterica serovar Heidelberg
Lineage: Bacteria; Pseudomonadati; Pseudomonadota; Gammaproteobacteria; Enterobacterales; Enterobacteriaceae
Also listed under: 4 other names
Description: partial RtT sRNA
Rfam family: RtT RNA
About the family: This family represents a bacterial cis-regulatory element known as RtT RNA.
Source: RNAcentral